GACGAACGCUGGCGGCGUGCUUAACACAUGCAAGUCGAACGGAAAGGCCCUGCUUUUGUGGGGUUCUCGAGUGGCGAGCGGGUGAGUAACACGUGAGUAACCUGCCCUUGACUUUGGGAUAACUUCAGGAAACUGGGGCUAAUACCGGAUAGGAGCUCCUGCUGCAUGGGGGGGGUUGGAAAGUUUCGGCGGUUGGGGCUGGACUCGCGGCUUAUCAGCUUGUUGGGUGGGUAGUGGCUUACCAAGGCUUUGACGGGUAGCCGGCAUGGGAGGGUGACCGGCCACAUUGGGACUGAGGUACGGCGCAGACUCCUACGGGAGGCAGCAGUGGGGAGUAUUGCACAAUGGGCGGACGCGUGAUGAGGAGACGCUGCGUGCGGGAUGACGGCCUUCGGGUUGUAAACCGCUUUCGCCUGUGACGAAGCGUGAUUGACGGUAAUGGGUAAAGAAGCACCGGCUAACUACGUG
This 468-nucleotide ribosomal RNA is filed under the name uncultured bacterium. RNAcentral's name for it is "partial 16S ribosomal RNA". It matches the Rfam family "Bacterial small subunit ribosomal RNA", at positions 28 to 507 of the family's 1533-position model. The record is from RNAcentral.